UGGGGAAUUUUGGACAAUGGGCGAAAGCCUGAUCCAGCAAUGCCGCGUGUGUGAAGAAGGCCUUCGGGUUGUAAAGCACUUUUGUCCGGAAAGAAAUCCUUGGCUCUAAUACAGUCGGGGGAUGACGGUACCGGAAGAAUAAGCACCGGCUAACUACGUGCCAGCAGCCGCGGUAAUACGUAGGGUGCAAGCGUUAAUCGGAAUUACUGGGCGUAAAGCGUGCGCAGGCGGUUUGCUAAGACCGAUGUGAAAUCCCCGGGCUCAACCUGGGAACUGCAUUGGUGACUGGCAGGCUAGAGUAUGGCAGAGGGGGGUAGAAUUCCACGUGUAGCAGUGAAAUGCGUAGAGAUGUGGAGGAAUACCGAUGGCGAAGGCAGCCCCCUGGGCCAAUACUGACGCUCAUGCACGAAAGCGUGGGGGAGCAAAACAGGAUUAGAUACCCCUGGUAGUCCACGCCCUAAACGAUGUCAACUAGUUGUUGGGGAUUCAUUUCCUUAGUAACGUAGCUAACGCGUGAAGUUGACCGCCUGGGGAGUACGGUCGCAAGAUUAAAACUUAAAUGAAUUGACGGGGU
This 574-nucleotide ribosomal RNA is filed under the name uncultured bacterium. RNAcentral describes it as "partial 16S ribosomal RNA". It matches the Rfam family "Bacterial small subunit ribosomal RNA", at positions 355 to 919 of the family's 1533-position model. The record is from RNAcentral.